This 253-nucleotide ribosomal RNA is filed under the name uncultured bacterium. Its description in RNAcentral is "partial 16S ribosomal RNA". It matches the Rfam family "Bacterial small subunit ribosomal RNA", at positions 524 to 776 of the family's 1533-position model. The record is from RNAcentral.
UACGUAGGGUGCAAGCGUUGUCCGGAAUUAUUGGGCGUAAAGAGCUCGUAGGCGGUCUGUCGCGUCGGCUGUGAAAACCCGGGGCUCAACCCCGGGCCUGCAGUCGAUACGGGCAGACUAGAGUGCGGUAGGGGAGACUGGAAUUCCUGGUGUAGCGGUGGAAUGCGCAGAUAUCAGGAGGAACACCAAUAGCGAAGGCAGCUCGCUGGGACGUUACUGACACUGAGGCGCGAAAGCGUGGGGAGCGAACAGG